Lycium ferocissimum is the source of this 1264-nucleotide long non-coding RNA. RefSeq lists it as uncharacterized. The transcript has 2 exons. Lineage: Eukaryota; Viridiplantae; Streptophyta; Magnoliopsida; Solanales; Solanaceae. The record is from RefSeq and is a predicted model, not a curated record.
GAUUUAAGUCCAUAGAACCUAAUUUCUCAAGAGUUGUGGUUAUAAGAUCUUCAAAAAAAAAAAAAAAUGUGAACCUGUGGGAACAAUCAAAUGGCAUCUUUAUAAUUCUCCAGUCGAGUCUUUUAUAAGCCAUGAUUGCAUCAUGUUAGACUUAAGACCCGAACAUGUUUGAGUUGGAUUGUCAGUUUAAAAAUGGGUGCAUAAAACCAUUCGAAUCAUGUUCCUCUUUUCUCUGCUAAACCGGUCGAGUUAUGGUAUCAUUAUAGAACCAGUAUCGUGUACUUUUUCUUCCAAAUCUUGAAUGAAAUGACCAGGUAUUAAAACAAGACUAUUUGUUGUGCUACUUUGGAGGUUGUUGUGUGCAUGAAAAUAUACCAAUAAGGUUCUCUGCCGAACUUGCUUUUGUUUUGGCAAAUACAUACUUAUAAUUUUGGGUUUUAGAACUUGGAGCCACAAAUGCUUUAAGAACUUGAAAGGAUCUCUUUUCCUUUUGUGAAGGUGUUUCUUUUUUGUCUUGGUUUACUACGGGAUGAUAAGUGUGUUGGCUUUUACGAUCACUCAUAUAGCAUCAUGGAAGUAUUAGAGAUUUGGGAAGCGAACAUAAUUUAUUUUGAACCAAUUUUGAAGUACCAUAGCCUAGCAUAACAAUUAACUCUCAUUUAUUCACUAAAAUGUUUGGUUUGGUUAGAAUUGUUUGAACUCAUUUGGUUGCCUAUAAUGGUUACGUAAGUAAGAGACGGGCUACACAUAAAGGUGUGAAAAUUGUUCAACUUUUUAAAUCUUUAUAGAGCUUAGGUUCGGCGCAUAAUGCGCAUAAGUUAGAUCAUGGUGUGUUUGCUUUAUUUUGAGACGUUUACUUAAGUCGGGUUGAUCUCUUUCCAAAGUUGGUGAAUAUUUGGUGCUAAAUCUAGUAAAUUAUUUGUUCUUGAUGGCAUGUUUUACUCAUUAGAUUUUGGCAUUAUUAAGAUCAAUUAAGGGUAUCACUAAUCCUUACCUUUAUCCUAUUUUUUUUAUAAGGACCCUUGGGAGCAUUAGGAGUUAUGGCAACUCCGGAUUCUGCCCAUAUCAGAGAGCAGCCAGCAGCAGAUUUAUUUGUUCGUGUCUAGCUAUCCCCUACUUUCGCAUCUCGAGUCUCCGUUCUUCCUUUAUUCAAAAUUUUAAGCCUUUGUAUUGGUUCAUAUACCCUGUUUAUAUUAUUUGACUAACACUCUUGUGAAUUUGUGUUUUUGUAGUUUUGUUGUGAACUCGUAACUCGACUUAAAUA